UACGUAAGGUCCGAGCGUUGUCCGGAAUCAUUGGGCGUAAAGGGUACGUAGGCGGAUAAGCAAGUUAGAAGUGAAAUCCUAUAGCUCAACUAAUGUAAGCUUUUAAAACUGCUAGACUUGAGAGAUUGAGGGGAAAGUGGAAUUCCUAGUGUAGCGGUGAAAUGCGCAGAUAUUAGGAGGAAUACCGGUGGCGAAGGCGACUUUCUGGCCAUAAACUGACGCUGAGGUACGAAAGCGUGGGUAGCAAACAGG
Molecule: ribosomal RNA, 252 nt
Filed under: uncultured bacterium
Lineage: Bacteria
Description: partial 16S ribosomal RNA
Rfam family: Bacterial small subunit ribosomal RNA
Source: RNAcentral